This 23-nucleotide microRNA is filed under the name Drosophila virilis. Its description in RNAcentral is "dvi-miR-9693-5p". The record is from miRBase by way of RNAcentral. Lineage: Eukaryota; Metazoa; Arthropoda; Insecta; Diptera; Drosophilidae.
GAAUCACGACACUCAACUGUUAU